This 77-nucleotide transfer RNA is filed under the name Aureimonas fodinaquatilis. Its description in RNAcentral is "Aureimonas sp. CAU 1482 tRNA-Pro". It matches the Rfam family "tRNA". From Rfam's summary of the family: Transfer RNA (tRNA) molecules are approximately 80 nucleotides in length. Their secondary structure includes four short double-helical elements and three loops (D, anti-codon, and T loops). Lineage: Bacteria; Pseudomonadati; Pseudomonadota; Alphaproteobacteria; Hyphomicrobiales; Aurantimonadaceae. The record is from RNAcentral.
CGGAGCGUAGCGCAGCCUGGUAGCGCACCUGGAUGGGGUUCAGGGGGUCGGAGGUUCGAAUCCUCUCGCUCCGACCA